RNAcentral lists this ribosomal RNA (802 nucleotides) under Vibrio sp. Its description in RNAcentral is "bacterial SSU rRNA". It matches the Rfam family "Bacterial small subunit ribosomal RNA", at positions 232 to 1026 of the family's 1533-position model. Lineage: Bacteria; Pseudomonadati; Pseudomonadota; Gammaproteobacteria; Vibrionales; Vibrionaceae. The record is from RNAcentral.
UAGGUGGGAUUAGCUAGUUGGUGAGGUAAGGGCUCACCAAGGCGACGAUCCCUAGCUGGUCUGAGAGGAUGAUCAGCCACACUGGAACUGAGACACGGUCCAGACUCCUACGGGAGGCAGCAGUGGGGAAUAUUGCACAAUGGGCGCAAGCCUGAUGCAGCCAUGCCGCGUGUGUGAAGAAGGCCUUCGGGUUGUAAAGCACUUUCAGUCGUGAGGAAGGUAGUGUAGUUAAUAGCUGCAUUAUUUGACGUUAGCGACAGAAGAAGCACCGGCUAACUCCGUGCCAGCAGCCGCGGUAAUACGGAGGGUGCGAGCGUUAAUCGGAAUUACUGGGCGUAAAGCGCAUGCAGGUGGUUUGUUAAGUCAGAUGUGAAAGCCCGGGGCUCAACCUCGGAAUUGCAUUUGAAACUGGCAGACUAGAGUACUGUAGAGGGGGGUAGAAUUUCAGGUGUAGCGGUGAAAUGCGUAGAGAUCUGAAGGAAUACCGGUGGCGAAGGCGGCCCCCUGGACAGAUACUGACACUCAGAUGCGAAAGCGUGGGGAGCAAACAGGAUUAGAUACCCUGGUAGUCCACGCCGUAAACGAUGUCUACUUGGAGGUUGUGGCCUUGAGCCGUGGCUUUCGGAGCUAACGCGUUAAGUAGACCGCCUGGGGAGUACGGUCGCAAGAUUAAAACUCAAAUGAAUUGACGGGGGCCCGCACAAGCGGUGGAGCAUGUGGUUUAAUUCGAUGCAACGCGAAGAACCUUACCUACUCUUGACAUCCAGAGAACUUUCCAGAGAUGGAUUGGUGCCUUCGGGAA